Molecule: unclassified non-coding RNA, 354 nt
Filed under: plant metagenome
Description: partial contains small subunit ribosomal RNA, internal transcribed spacer 1, and 5.8S ribosomal RNA
Source: RNAcentral
UUUCCGUAGGUGAACCUGCGGAAGGAUCAUUAACACGUAUCCACGUAUCAAAACCACGUUGAACUGUCUGUCUGCUGAGUGUUGGAGCGAAAGGCUAUGUGGUGAGGAACGCAAUGAAUUAUUAUUUAUUGCGUUCUCGUCUUCGUUUUCCAACGGCGGGGGAGCAAAGAGUUUCCUUUGAACUCUUUGCUCCUUUUGGCCGGGGCCUCAGCACGACGCAUCAUCACGGUUUAUUUUUAACCACUAUGAAUUAUUGUACUAACUAUUGAAAAAAACGAAAACACAUUUGUGUUGCGUUUUUUUUUCUUUACGAAAAAUUUUGAACAACUCUUAGCAAUGGAUAUCUUGGUUUCC